This is a long non-coding RNA of Scatophagus argus, 720 nucleotides long. RefSeq lists it as uncharacterized. The transcript has 3 exons. NCBI's taxonomy places the organism in Eukaryota, Metazoa, Chordata, Actinopteri, Scatophagidae. The record is from RefSeq and is a predicted model, not a curated record.
CUAGCUACUUGAAAAUGUACCUUUCAGUUGAAUGAAACUGUUAACGUUACCAACAUGUCGCCACCGCUCGGCGUCUUACGUUUGCCACUCACCAUGUUCAGCAUCUGAAACGACACAAACAGAAACGGCAGACCCCUGAAAAAAAAAUAGUGGUGAGAACCACAUAACUGCAACCGAGAUGGCUCUACUUCCUCCUGCUGGCACUGUAACAUGUCUGCACUUGCUUUCACUAUAACACGGACGAAUACAGGACACUGAUGAGUUGGGAUGCUCAACAGCUCACAGGAUAUUCAACUGCAUCCGAGGAGAAAAAAUAACUAUCAGACCCACUGCUAGAUGAUCAAGAUGAAUGGCGUGCCUCCUUCACCAGCAGGUUUGGGAUGAGCACACUGGUGUACUUUUGUCUCACGCAGCCUGCUAUUGGGUCUGUCUCUCUGGUUCUCUGGUAAAUAUUUAAUCUGCACCACAAUAUUUGAAAUAUUUUAGACCUCCGUAGUGAUAAAAAAAAAAAAAAAAAAGUAGAACGAGGCUUAGAGGGCAGAGUUACUGUCCUCAUUUAUAACUGGUCUGUUUACUAUAAAUAUGAUCUUAACCAGAUCACAGUUUUGACCACACAAAUACCAUGUAAAUGUAUGUGAAGGGCACAAGUUCCAUUCUAACGUGGAUUUUUGACUGAUGCUGACUAUGUGAGACAAAGAAAGAAGAAAAAGAAAAACUUCU